GUUGAGAAUCGGUAAAGCUCAGGAGGGAUAGCGCCUCUUUUUAAUCUGCAUAUAUAACUCAGAUCAAUGUUGAGGCGCUAUCUAUCCUGAGUUUUACGGUUUCUCCUU
RNAcentral lists this microRNA precursor (108 nucleotides) under Amborella trichopoda. RNAcentral describes it as "MIR390 microRNA precursor family". It matches the Rfam family "MIR390 microRNA precursor family". The record is from Rfam by way of RNAcentral. Lineage: Eukaryota; Viridiplantae; Streptophyta; Magnoliopsida; Amborellales; Amborellaceae.